RNAcentral lists this ribosomal RNA (301 nucleotides) under uncultured bacterium. Its description in RNAcentral is "partial 16S ribosomal RNA". It matches the Rfam family "Bacterial small subunit ribosomal RNA", at positions 509 to 807 of the family's 1533-position model. The record is from RNAcentral.
CAGUAGCCACGGUAAUACGGAGGGUGCAAGCGUUAAUCGGAAUUACUGGGCGUAAAGCGUGCGUAGGCGGUUUGUUAAGUCUGUUGUGAAAUCCCCGGGCUCAACCUGGGAAUGGCAAUGGAUACUGGCAAGCUAGAGUGUGUCAGAGGAUGGUGGAAUUCCCGGUGUAGCGGUGAAAUGCGUAGAGAUCGGGAGGAACAUCAGUGGCGAAGGCGGCCAUCUGGGACAACACUGACGCUGAGGCACGAAAGCGUGGGGAGCAAACAGGAUUAGAUACCCCAGUAGUCCCUGUCUCUUAUAC